RNAcentral lists this transfer RNA (72 nucleotides) under Schistocerca americana (American grasshopper). Its description in RNAcentral is "tRNA-Pro". It matches the Rfam family "tRNA". Rfam says of the family: Transfer RNA (tRNA) molecules are approximately 80 nucleotides in length. Their secondary structure includes four short double-helical elements and three loops (D, anti-codon, and T loops). Further hydrogen bonds mediate the characteristic L-shaped molecular structure. tRNAs have two regions of fundamental functional importance: the anti-codon, which is responsible for specific mRNA codon recognition, and the 3' end, to which the tRNAs corresponding amino acid is attached (by aminoacyl-tRNA synthetases). tRNAs cope with the degeneracy of the genetic code in two manners: having more than one tRNA (with a specific anti-codon) for a particular amino acid; and 'wobble' base-pairing, i.e. permitting non-standard base-pairing at the 3rd anti-codon position. Lineage: Eukaryota; Metazoa; Arthropoda; Insecta; Orthoptera; Acrididae. The record is from RNAcentral.
GGCCUGUUGGUCUAGUGGUAUGAUUCCUGCUUUGGGUGCAGGAGGUCCCGGGUUCACAUCCCGGACAGGCCC